This 115-nucleotide ribosomal RNA is filed under the name Sinocyclocheilus grahami. Lineage: Eukaryota; Metazoa; Chordata; Actinopteri; Cypriniformes; Cyprinidae. The record is from RNAcentral.
AUCGGCACCCAUAUCACCCUGUAGCCCAAGACUGGUCGCCCACUGAAGCAAAGCAGGGCUGAGCUGGUCAGUACCUGGAUGGGAGACCUCCUGGGGAAACCAGGUGCUGCUGGAA